Mycena vulgaris is the source of this 94-nucleotide non-coding RNA. Lineage: Eukaryota; Fungi; Basidiomycota; Agaricomycetes; Agaricales; Mycenaceae. The record is from the annotation of a GenBank genome assembly.
UCAGAUGUGGUGUAGUGGGAACACAGCCUCUUACAAUGGACCAAGAAAAAUGUAGGCUGAGAGGCAGUCCAGGGUUCGAGUCCCUGCAUCUGAG